AUUGGACGCUGGCGGCAGGCCUAACACAUGCAAGUCGAGCGGAUGAGUGGAGCUUGCUCCAUGAUUCAGCGGCGGACGGGUGAGUAAUGCCUAGGAAUCUGCCUGGUAGUGGGGGACAACGUUUCGAAAGGAACGCUAAUACCGCAUACGUCCUACGGGAGAAAGUGGGGGAUCUUCGGACCUCACGCUAUCAGAUGAGCCUAGGUCGGAUUAGCUAGUUGGUGAGGUAAAGGCUCACCAAGGCGACGAUCCGUAACUGGUCUGAGAGGAUGAUCAGUCACACGGGAACUGAGACACGGUCCAGACUCCUACGGGAGGCAGCAGUGGGGAAUAUUGGACAAUGGGCGAAAGCCUGAUCCAGCCAUGCCGCGUGUGUGAAGAAGGUCUUCGGAUUGUAAAGCACUUUAAGUUGGGAGGAAGGGCAGUAAGUUAAUACCUUGCUGUUUUGACGUUACCAACAGAAUAAGCACCGGCUAACUUCGUG
RNAcentral lists this ribosomal RNA (484 nucleotides) under uncultured bacterium. Its description in RNAcentral is "partial 16S ribosomal RNA". It matches the Rfam family "Bacterial small subunit ribosomal RNA", at positions 30 to 507 of the family's 1533-position model. The record is from RNAcentral.